RNAcentral lists this ribosomal RNA (236 nucleotides) under uncultured bacterium. RNAcentral's name for it is "partial 16S ribosomal RNA". It matches the Rfam family "Bacterial small subunit ribosomal RNA", at positions 15 to 244 of the family's 1533-position model. The record is from RNAcentral.
GAUCCUGGCUCAGGACGAACGCUGGCGGCGCGCCUAACACAUGCAAGUCGAACGGAAUCAAGAGGAGCUUGCUUUUCUUGAUUUAGUGGCGAACGGGUGAGUAACGCGUGAGGAACCUGCCUCAAAGAGGGGGACAACAGUUGGAAACGACUGCUAAUACCGCAUAAGCCCACGGCUCGGCAUCGAGCAGAGGGAAAAGGAGCAAUCCGCUUUGAGAUGGCCUCGCGUCCGAUUAG